CGGCGGACGGGUGAGUAACACGUGGAUAACCUACCUAUAAGACUGGGAUAACUUCGGGAAACCGGAGCUAAUACCGGAUAAUAUAUUGAACCGCAUGGUUCAAUGGUGAAAGACGGUUUUGCCGUCACUUAUAGAUGGAUCCGCGCCGCAUUAGCUAGUUGGUAAGGUAACGGCUUACCAAGGCAACGAUGCGUAGCCGACCUGAGAGGGUGAUCGGCCACACUGGAACUGAGACACGGUCCAGACUCCUACGGGAGGCAGCAGCCA
This 267-nucleotide ribosomal RNA is filed under the name uncultured Staphylococcus sp. RNAcentral's name for it is "partial 16S ribosomal RNA". It matches the Rfam family "Bacterial small subunit ribosomal RNA", at positions 96 to 355 of the family's 1533-position model. The record is from RNAcentral. Lineage: Bacteria; Bacillati; Bacillota; Bacilli; Caryophanales; Staphylococcaceae.